CCAAAAUACGUGACAACAUCUCUUAGCAAGAUGAAAGAUAUCUAUCUAGUUAAUGUUAAGAAAUAAGAAUUUAAUUCGUGUAGAUCAUUGAUAUGAUAUGAUAUUUUUUUGAUUUAGUCGGAUACAAAGUUGUACAUAGUACAUACCAAUAUCGCAAUAUACAUAUCAUCAUCUUAAAAUGUUGUCUUAUAUAUGUGUUAAGAAAGCAUUUACAGAUUGUGUCGUGUAUUCACAAUCAUACAGACAGAAAUCUUUCUGCACUUUCAAGAAUCCAAAUCAAUAAACAAGAAAUGUUUUCCAUGAGACAUUCCAGAGGCAAGCAGGGCAGGCACUCCAGGCAGGUAGCACAGGAAGCAUAAAAUAGAAAUGUCAGACAAGACAUUGUUUUUUGAUUACCGUCCUUCCACUGUUACACAUUCCGAUGACACCGGAGUUUCAAUUGAAUACUCUUCUUGACCGCUUCAAUUUACCUACUCAAUUUUUACGUCAGCAUCUGUAAAAGCAGUAAUUCUCGGUAGUAGGUGUACCCAAAUCUGUACUUUCUCCGAAGCUCCCCUAGGUUGGCAGAUCAUGUUGGCCGGAUCUGGUCGGUAGAUGUUUCAGAUUCGUUCAUUCUGAUCAGACACGGCAGUGUCGCAUCAUAGGCUCAGACGAAGCUAGUAAGUUACAAUUCCCAAUAAAUCGUAUAUCCAUUAUACUAUCAUUUUCAUCACUAAUUGUAAUUGAUCACCACCAGCACCAACUACUUCAAAAUAUAGCAAAUACAUCACAUCACUCUUCUAAAUCAGAAAGUUCCAGGAAGUUGUUGUUGAGACGACUUUUAGUAGGUAUCACUCUGAUAAUUCAAAUGUAAAACUUGAUUAAAGUAUAUAGAAAUGUAAAAUUCGAACCCUAAAGAAAACUUAUCACCAUUCAUUACUUACAUUUUAUUACCCAGACCUUCCUCUCUAGUCAUCUCCAGGUUUACUGGGGAAUACGUUAAGACAAUAUAAAUGUGAAGAAAAU
This 1005-nucleotide long non-coding RNA is filed under the name Zostera marina. Its description in RNAcentral is "long non-coding RNA (ZMAR_LNC003821)". Lineage: Eukaryota; Viridiplantae; Streptophyta; Magnoliopsida; Alismatales; Zosteraceae. The record is from RNAcentral.